RNAcentral lists this long non-coding RNA (5944 nucleotides) under Solanum tuberosum (potato). Its description in RNAcentral is "long non-coding RNA (STUB_LNC001452)". The record is from RNAcentral. Lineage: Eukaryota; Viridiplantae; Streptophyta; Magnoliopsida; Solanales; Solanaceae.
CCAAUUCAUUUUUCGCUGAAACAACCCUAAACAAAUGUCCAAACCAAAAUUUUGAAGCCGCUACCACCAUUGUCUCACAUAGCUCGCAACCAUAAUUUUUGGCCAUUUUCUCAGGUAACCCUAACCCAUCUCUCUCCACCACUCUUAUCUGUGAUUUUCUUGGGUUGUCAAUGCUAAACUUUUGUUGGUGUCCCAAUCUACUCCUUGAAACUUAUCUUAGUUCUCUCUCCUCAUAUAGGUUUCAAGAUGGUUACAUGCUUUAUUUCUCUUGGCAAAUAAUCUAAUUUUCAGGUAUUCAAACACUAAGGUUAAAUCUAUUUAUGAAUUGGGAUGUCCAUGAAAAUUUAUAAUUUGGGAAUAAAAUUUUAAUGUUCUUGCUAAGUCCUGAUUUGUGAUCUACCACUUCUGAUAAAUUUAUAAGCAAUUGACUGAAUUGAUAUCUCUAAUUUUGCUACUGUAAUAUGUUUGGAUAUUCAACUCCUCGUGAAUGUUCAGAUGUUUUUGGAGUGUUGCUGAUAAAAUAUUGAUAUUUUUAAUUUAAUCUACAAUACUGAAAUCUCUCUUUGAUUGAGAUUUUUGUUAAUUGUAUGAAAAUUUCAAUACAAACUGAAUUUUGAAGUGAUUGAUUUGUGAAUUUUAUUCUAACUGAAGUUAUUUAUAAACAUCAAUACCAAUUUCUUUAGGAAUUCCCAUCCAAACUCCCAUUCCUUUUCAAAAUAUUCUCAACACUAAUUAUAAAUUCAAGAAUCCAAAUUGACAAACCAGGGUGAAAUUGUCUAAGAGAAGAAGAAGAUAUUUGAACAGGAUCACUUUCCUUACAAAAGAAUUGACUAUAAGUUUGAAGUUUCAGUUCAUGUUGACUUCUCAUUUAUACUGAAAAAAAAGGAUCAAAUAUGGGGAAUAAUAACAUAACUAGAUGAGGUUGUAUUUAAAAGUAAAUGUAGCAAAUUUUUGUAGUUUAUGGAUAACCAAGGCCAGCUCAUUAACCAAGAUCCAGUAUUUGUAUUACGAUUCAGAAUAAAGAAGAAAUAUUUCUGAAUUGUUUAUUGUUGUGAAAGGAAAAUCAGUUAUGUACUGCUGAUAACUAAAUUUUAAAUAACUCAAACUAAGUAAGACUAUUAUGGAGGACUAAAACUCAAAUGCAUGACAUAUAUAAUUUUUCUUUUAUUCUUUGACGUUUUUAUGGAGGAUUUAUUCUAAAGUGAAGUUCUUGAUAGUAGACAGACCAAAGAGAUGAAUAGUAAAAGUUCUUGAUGGGAUGUAGAGCAAAGAGGUAUAAAGUAAAAGGUAUUUCUAGGAUGCAACCACACAGAGCCACAAAUAGGAAAUGGUUUUUUUUACUUUUAAGAGAGCUGAUUCUUUGUGUAGCAGUUUUUGAUAUUGCUUUUUUCUUGUGUGAUAUAUACAUUGUACUUUGCAUUACUUGAUACCUUAUCUUGUCAAGUAAAUUAUGGAAUAUGCACAACAUACAUUUUGUGGGGGCGCACAUGCAUGACAGAUGUUUGAGCAAGAGCAGUAACUCAAAAGUUACUUUGACAAUCAUCAUAAUCAAAGAUUAAAUUUUAACCGUUACUCAAAAAUAUCUUGAAGUUCAAAACUGAAAUAGUUAAAUGACUUUGAACACUUGAAACUUAGAAGCUGUGAAAAAAUUGUAUAAGCUUGUAUUACAAACAUAAUAUAUUUUUUUCUUCCUUUGUUCUAUUCAUGUGUAUGUCUGCACAAUUGAGAAUAGAGCAAAACUAGGAGAUUUCUUUUAUGAUAUUGGAAAUAAAACUAUUCAAAGUACAACUGUUGCAAUUAUAUUCUACGUGAUUAUAGAAUAUUCUAGGUGUUUUAGUUCUUUAAAUAAGUUUCCAGGCUCAUUCCUCAAUGAUAUUUUUUCUAAUUAUCAAUUCUUCAUAGCAUUUCUUAAUUGUAAGCAUUACAUUCCUUUGUUCCCUAUUUGCCAUUGUGUUGUUGUUGGAUUUAAAAAUUCAAUAUUCUUGUUAGUAAGUUUAUCAUAGAUUCUACUUCCUGUUAUGAAAAUUCUUUCUGAAGUUAAUAGUCUAUGUGUCGUUCUCCCUUAGCUGCUUAAUAGUAGCUUAUGUAGCACAAGCAAAACUAAACAAAUUUGGGAAUUCCUCUUUUAGAGUUGUGCUGCCCAGUCACUUGUCCAACCAAAAUAGUGUGUUCUCACCAUCACAUAAUCAUUGAUAGUUGUAAAUUCAAUAUCUCAACUUAUGAAUCAGUUACUUAGAAUUAAGCUAAGUUUGAUGAUAAAAGUACUAAAGAGAUAAGUUAGUGGAUAAGGUCAUUACCGAGUGUAUAUAAUUCAGGUUAACUGAAAUAGUUGUUGCAAUUAUUUAUUUGAUUUAAAGAAAAUAGCUUGACAUUCUUCUUCCUUAUGUGAGGUUAGUACUUCCAGCUUUACAUAUGUUUUGUUUUUCUUUAUAUGAUUUCUCAACUGCUUUUCAAUUUUAUUUACAACACAAAAUUUAAUAUACUUGGAAGCCAUCUUGUUAUUAAAUUGGUAGUAAAAAUAAAGACUGCCAGGCUUUCUCCGAGAUAUAUAUGUGUUUCUAAAAUUCAUUUAAGCAAUACGAAAUAUAUCAUGAUAAAAUAUGAGUAACAGUUGCUAACAAAUAUUAAUGACCGGACAUGUUUCAAUUCUUAAUAACUUGUAUGUUUCAUCCUUGAGCUGUAACAUAUUGGUGCCUGUGAUUGUUGUUGUGAAUUAACAUAUUUAAUUGUUAAAAGAUGGAGACUGAGUACACAGGGGUUGUGGAAACCUAUGUUGCUCGGACUCUUCAAAAAUGUCAACGGAUUUAUGUCGGAUCCUCCAAAAGUAGUGCAUUUUUUAAUGAUCAGACACGGUGCGACAACAGUUUUGGGGAGUCCAAGCAACUUAGAUGGGAGCAACUUACUCUAAUUUGCUUCAUGAUUUGACCUCGUUGACUCAAAUACAUUGCAAAUUCUUACUGGUUAAUGCUCUUAAACCUUUUUUUAUUGAUUAAACAAGUACUUUUAAAUUGGAAACAUUAUAAGAGUUCCUUCGUGAAUAUGACCCCUGCUGAAAGAAUUUGUCAUGUAAUGCUAGUUAUUAGAUGACAUAUAUUCUAUUGUGAAGGUUCUAACGUAUCUCAAUUAACAUGUAAACGAGACUUUGGCUUAAUAUAGAUAUAUGUAGGAAAUAAUAGAUUAACUGAAGGCUCUUCAUUCCUAUAGCAUGUAAAAGUCAUUACCUCAAUAUAUGAACAAGUUUGUGACAGUGUUAUCCUUUGAAUGAUCUAAAUAUUAUUUUUGUUUUCCGUUGUUCUAUGGUGAUACUGUUUUAUUUAAAAGAUAUCAGAUCAUAUCUCAGGUGUUUAAUGCAUAGAAGCACUUGUCCUAACAUCACUAGAAAAGAAACAUAAUGAUUACAAGUGCGAUAAAAAAGGUCAUUAUAUGGAAAAAUAUAGGAUUACAGAUAAUUUGCUAAAAAAUAUACCAAGUCUUAUACUGAGGGAUCAAUGGAGUGAUCUUGUCUUUUUAUUUUUAAUAAAACUAAGGUUUCAAUAAAGCUUGAAAACAUACUUCUAGUUGCAUAUUUUUAUUGAUUUUUUAUUUUAGUUUUGCUCAUUUUUUAUAAUUCAUAUCAUUUUUUGAGGUAUUACUCAUUUUUACUCUUUGAUUUUACUGUUUGAAUUUUCUAUGUGCAAUAACCAACUUUCUAAAGCUGCUUUUAAGCUCACGAUUUUUUAUUAAUGUUGAAAUAGUUUAUAAAUAGGCAGUAAGUAGUCAUCUGAAUACAACUUCAACAUUUAAUUUAAUUCACGAUUAGAAUAUACUCACACACUAGUUUCUACAAAGAGGAUAAUAUCUAAAUCAUUGAGACAAAAGGCUUAUUUUUGUUUCCAUAAAAAUUUGUAUCAUGUGCAGCUAUGCACAAUAGAGUUAAGGGACAUUUAAUAGCUUGAAAUUUUGUGGUAGAGAUUGAAUAUUUGUUGCUGUGAUUUCUUGCAUUUAUUUGGAACCAUACCUGUCAUUUUGUGUUAAUUUGGGUUGUUGAUUCGUCAUCUUAUUUUGCUUCAUUAGUCCUGCCUAUUUACAAAGUCAGGUUGUUUAUGAAGCAAUUAAAGGUAAACAUUUGUGAUUAAUAUUACUUAUUCUUAUCCUUUGGUGCUACUAUUUGAGUUUUCCUCAUUCCUUUGGCUCGCUGCAAGAAUACAACCUGACAGCAGUAAAAGACAUUAGAAGCAGCAGUAACACAUUCAAGCAGAUAGUUUAAUAUCUAGUAUUAACCAUGAAAAAUAAUAACAUUUAGAUAAAGUGCAUGAAAAUUAGAGACCUAAGUAUGACUAACAACUGUGUGUAAUAUUUAUCUAAUUUGAAACGAUAAGCACGGAAGUCAAGUGUCUAACUGACUACAUAGUGACAUGCCACCUCUUUUGUUCAGUACUUCUUAUUUUACUCUACUGGUGUCGAAUUGGUAUUUUAUUUGCAUUUCUCCUAAGAUUUUCUGUAAUUUCAUGGUUAGUAUAUACCUGAUAGUAGCAUGUAGUUAAAUCCUGCUUCUCUUUUGAGAGAUAAGUUUUUGUUCCAAAUUGCUUAUUAUUAUUAUCUAGUGGUUUUUUUCUGUUUCAAAUAAUAUACCUCUUCUGACCCUAAUCAAUUGAUAUAGGAAGAGCUUGAGGUCAUUGUGAUUGGUGUUGGUGAGUUUAUUGUAAUCUAUAGUUGUGAUAUGAUAUAGCCACUAACUCACCAUAUUUUUAUAUAUUACAUUUCAUUUUUUGACACAUUUAUUUUAUUAUUUUAGGUCAUAGAGCUUGAUGUUCAAAAAAUUUCCUUGUAGAAGAUUUCAAUAUAAACCAGAGUUGUGGAAAUUAUUUGAAGACAUCAUUUGACAUGAUCAGUUGUAUAAUAACAUUAGUUAUUGUGACACUAUAUUUUGGAUUAGUACUUUGUUUUAUUUGUGUGGGUUUGAUGGGAUGUAUUAUGUUUUAUGAAUUAAUAAAAAUAUAUAUAUUAGCAUUUAUCAAACUUCUUUGACGCUAAGCUCUCUUUUACUAUUUUUUUGUUGGAUUUAUUAGUUAUAACUAUUAUCAGCAAAGUGAAAACUAGAUCAUUUUUUGGACGAAUGUAGUAGCAAUAAUAAAUGGUGGUUAAGCAAUUAUUGCAAUUAUUCUCCAUAAAAUGGACGUUGAAGAGGAAAAUUAAGAGGUUUUUGUGAGGGAUAUUGUAGCCAUUCUACAUUUCCACAAAAUAAUUGCCACUAAAACUAAUUUUAGCGGAAAUUUAAUUUAAUUUAAUAAAUAUAUAAAUGGACACUAAAAAAGUAUAGUUAACCAUUAGAAAUUGAAUUUUGCAACCAAAUUAAUUUCCACAAACCAUUGCCAUUAAAAGACAUGAUUAUUAUUGGCAAUAAAUAAUAGCCUUUACCAACAUUUUUGAAAAAAGCCGCGAAAGCCCUUAGUGACCCUGACAUCACCGACUAAAUAUCAAUGGCCGGUAAAGAAUAUAGUGGUGAAUGUUAUUGCCGCUAAAGCCCCUAUUUGUAGUAGUGCUAGUUAUAUUGUUGGAAAGUUGGUACCUUAGUGAUUGUGAAAAGUGUAUGUUGGGUGUCUAUUGGUUGAUCUAUGUCAUAUCUUGAUCCGCAUGAGUUAGCUUGUUGAGUCUGAACGAAAAGGUUUGCACUAAAUAAGGGAUUUGGGAUAGAAUGCCAUGUGAUUGCUUGAGUUUGAAUGUCUAUUUCUACACAGGUGUAGUAUAGAGUUUUAGUGCGUCUCUUGAGGACAAACAAUGAGUUUAAGUUGAGGGUGUUGAUAUACCGUGAGUUUACGAUAUUUUUGAUACAUUUCAGUUAGAAGGUGUGUGUGUCUAGAGAGAUAUUGUGUUAGAAUUAAUGUUUAUUUAUUAUGUUUGCAAUAAAUAGGCCUAGACACAGUCAACGGAGACGAAAGCUAAAAUUUUGCAGAAGGAGCCACCC